UGGAGGCGCCCCCGCGCGACUCACGGCCUGAGAUUGGCGGGCAGGAGGAAUGACGCAUUACGUGAGGCGAUGAGGCUCCUCCCCUGAGAUCCUGCGUGCUGUUAGCGUGGGGCGGGGCGGAGGGUGGGCCUAGGCGGCCAUUACCCGGAACGGUCUCGGGCUUGGGGUCAGGUGACCCACAGCUGGGCUCGCGGAAGAAGGGUGGCGAGGGGAGGGAAGAGAGUGUGAGAAGAGAAAGGGAGGAGAAAGGAGAAGGGCGGAGUAGGAGGGAGGGGAAGGGGGCGGGACUGGAGUGAGUCACGUGAUUCGCCAUGGAGGCGGUGGCGGCGCCCGGGAGGAGCCGCCGGGGCAGAAGCCGCACUUGUUAGUGUCGGGGGAGGAAGGGGUCGGGGGACGCCGACAGCAACAGCCGGGGACACCGAGGACAGAGUGAGAGGGGGUGGGGGCAGGACCAGGCUCCGACCCCCAGCCGAGGGAUGAGGGGAGUAUGGGCGCCAAGGAGUCACGGAUCGGAUUCCUCAGCUACGAGGAGGCGCUGAGGAGAGUUACAGAUGUAGAGCUGAAGCGACUUAAAGAUGCCUUCAAGAGGACCUGUGGACUCUCAUAUUACAUGGGCCAGCACUGUUUCAUCAGGGAAGUGCUUGGGGAUGGAGUGCCCCCAAAAGUUGCUGAGGUAAUUUACUGUUCUUUUGGUGGAACAUCCAAAGGGCUGCACUUCAAUAACUUAAUAGUUGGACUUGUGCUCCUUACAAGAGGCAAAGAUGAAGAAAAAACAAAAUGUAAGUACUUUUAUUAUCUCAAAAUGAUUACAUUCAUUCAGUUACUCAUUUAUUUACUUAGAGACAGAAUCUCACUGUUCAGUUUAGACUGGCCUUUUUAAACUUGCCUUGUAG
Molecule: long non-coding RNA, 893 nt
Filed under: Cavia porcellus (domestic guinea pig)
Lineage: Eukaryota; Metazoa; Chordata; Mammalia; Rodentia; Caviidae
Description: lncRNA (ENSCPOG00000040541.1)
Source: RNAcentral